UAGUAACUUAUUUUUAUGUAGCUACAAUUGUGCAUAUGAGACAUCUGCUCAUUUGCUGAUCUCAUUGUGCCUUUCCUCUCAUUCUUUGUUAACUUUUUAGUUACUUAGCUCAGGGAAAGAGAAGCGUGCCUCAACUUUGAAAGAAUCAGGGUCAGAGGUAGCCUUAGGAAUGGAGGUCUUCAAACUAAUUUGAAGAUGGAACCUGAUGUGUCUGUGAGAGCAACAACCAGGAAGACUUGCUGU
This 243-nucleotide long non-coding RNA is filed under the name Anser brachyrhynchus (Pink-footed goose). RNAcentral's name for it is "lncRNA (ENSABRG00000010624.1)". The record is from RNAcentral. Lineage: Eukaryota; Metazoa; Chordata; Aves; Anseriformes; Anatidae.